GGCAUCCUUGGCUCGGUUUUUGGAGAAGCGCAAGGAGAGGUAAGUUGUAUAAAUUCAAGCAAAAGAAGAAAUAUUUUUUCACAAUUUGAUUAUGAAUUGACUGAUAUCUAAUGAAAAAUUGUUGACCCAUUAUGGAUGGUAAACAAGGUGAUGAUCUGUGGAAAUGUAUGCACUCUUUAUCCUGUCACUUUGUCAGCAGUAUAUAACUCAACCUAGCUAAACCUUAAUCCCAAACUAGUCGGGGUUAAAUAAUUUUGCUUGCCAUAUCUUGACUUUUAUUCAGUGAAUGACUGAA
Molecule: unclassified non-coding RNA, 295 nt
Filed under: Hevea brasiliensis (rubber tree)
Lineage: Eukaryota; Viridiplantae; Streptophyta; Magnoliopsida; Malpighiales; Euphorbiaceae
Source: RNAcentral